CAGUCGCCACGGGAAUACGAAGGGGGCUAGCGUUGUUCGGAUUUACUGGGCGUAAAGGGCGCGUAGGCAGGCUGAUAAGUCAGGGGUGAAAUCCCAAGGCUCAACCUUGGAACUGCCUUUGAUACUGUUUGUCUUGAGUUCGAGAGAGGUAAGUGGAACUGCGAGUGUAGAGGUGAAAUUCGUAGAUAUUCGCAAGAACACCAGUGGCGAAGGCGGCUUACUGGCUCGAAACUGACGCUGAGGCGCGAAAGCGUGGGGAGCAAACAGGAUUAGAUACCCCUGUAGUCCCUGUCUCUUAUAC
RNAcentral lists this ribosomal RNA (301 nucleotides) under uncultured bacterium. RNAcentral's name for it is "partial 16S ribosomal RNA". It matches the Rfam family "Bacterial small subunit ribosomal RNA", at positions 509 to 807 of the family's 1533-position model. The record is from RNAcentral.